RNAcentral lists this ribosomal RNA (505 nucleotides) under uncultured bacterium. RNAcentral describes it as "partial 16S ribosomal RNA". It matches the Rfam family "Bacterial small subunit ribosomal RNA", at positions 28 to 507 of the family's 1533-position model. The record is from RNAcentral.
GACGAACGCUGGCGGCGUGCCUAAUACAUGCAAGUAGAACGCACAGUUUAUACCGUAGCUUGCUACACCAUAGACUGUGAGUUGCGAACGGGUGAGUAACGCGUAGGUAACCUGCCUGGUAGCGGGGGAUAACUAUUGGAAACGAUAGCUAAUACCGCAUAAUAUUGAUUAUUGCAUGAUAAUUGAUUGAAAGAUGCUAUUGCAUCACUACCAGAUGGACCUGCGUUGUAUUAGCUAGUAGGUGAGGUAACGGCUCACCUAGGCGACGAUACAUAGCCGACCUGAGAGGGCGAUCGGCCACACUGGGACUGAGACACGGCCCAGACUCCUACGGGAGGCGGCAGUAGGGAAUCUUCGGCAAUGGACGAAAGUCUGACCGAGCAACGCCGCGUGAGUGAAGAAGGUUUUCGGAUCGUAAAGCUCUGUUGUAAGAGAAGAACGGGUGUGAGAGUGGAAAGUUCACACUGUGACGGUAUCUUACCAGAAAGGGACGGCUAACUACGUG